Non-coding RNA from Equus caballus (horse), 519 nucleotides. The record is from RefSeq and is a predicted model, not a curated record. Lineage: Eukaryota; Metazoa; Chordata; Mammalia; Perissodactyla; Equidae.
AAAAAUCAAUUGACCAUAGAUGUAUAGGUUUAUUUCUAAACUCUCAAUUCUGUUUCAUUGAUCUAUAUGUCUAUCCUAGUGUUGGCACCACGUCAUCUUGAUUACGAUAGUUUCCUGUUUAUUCAAAACAUGGAAGGGGAAAAGAGCAUUAAUUGAGACUCUUUCAGAAACCAACACUUGAUAGACAUACAUUUGGUAGCUGAGGACAUGGAAUGAAGAUCAGACAGGAAGAGUGUACACCAUGACAAGGAAGCGUCAAGAAUGGAACUUUGGUGAACACCAACGAUGAGGGGGCAGUUAGAAGGAGAGUCACGCACGCAGGCGUCUGAGAAGCCACAGUCAGAGAAGCAGGAGGAAAACUACAUGUUUCGUUCUUUAUUGCCAUGUAAAGUCCACCACAAAACUUGAGGCUUAAAACAACAACUAGACCAGCUCUGCUUUCCCUCUUUUUCAUGUACCAGGCUUAGUAUUUGACAAAACAGUUUUGCCCAAAAUAAAAUAAGUCUAGAUACCACUAAA